RNAcentral lists this ribosomal RNA (1368 nucleotides) under Xiphinema citricolum. Its description in RNAcentral is "eukaryotic LSU rRNA". The stretch from base 1 to 193 matches the Rfam family "Eukaryotic small subunit ribosomal RNA", at positions 1641 to 1831 of the family's 1831-position model. The record is from RNAcentral. Lineage: Eukaryota; Metazoa; Nematoda; Enoplea; Dorylaimida; Longidoridae.
UUGAUUACGUCCCUGCCCUUUGUACACACCGCCCGUCGCUACUACCGAUUGGAUGACUUAGUGAGGUCUUAGGACCGACGUAAAGGAGCUUUCGCGAGUUCUUUUUCGUUGGAAAUUUGAUCGAACUACGUUAUCUAGAGGAAGUAAAAGUCGUAACAAGGUUUCCGUAGGUGAACCUGCGGAAGGAUCAUUACCAUGCUAGAAAAAGAAUGAAUGAAUGAAAGGACAGCUAUAUAAUAUAGAAUGAAUUCUAUUCGCUAGUCGUCGUAUGGGACUACGGCCGGGAAAAUGGGCGAGGCGCUCUUGCGAAAGCCUCGGUCGCUUAGUCGCCCUAUGAAUGAAUCCAGACUCGUGUCGUGGUGUCGAUCGUUGCAGACGCGGUUGUAGCGGAGUUGGGAUACCUACCCGCGGUCUCUGCCGAUUUACGAUCAUAUGCGCGCGCGAGAUUUCUGCGAUUCAUAUCUCAGACGUUCGGGAUCGAGACGGUCGUAAAGUAUAUAUAUAUACCGACUCGAUUCUUCUUCGGGUACCUAUCGAAGCUAACGCCUGCGGUUUCGUCUGGGUAGCGGAUUAGCGUUAGUUUCGAGGACCCCUUCCCAGUGUAAGGGGCAGAUUUAAAGAGUCGCUGGCUCUCGUCCGAAAGAGAGCGAUCUCGCUUCGAACUCGCGAAAUUUUCGAACCUCGUCGUUAGUAGAAUAGACGAGGGUGUUUCGAAGGUUCGUCGUUCGGGAUCCUGGGUUCGCCCGGGUGACCGCCCGAAACAAAAAAUAUUCUCAAAUAUAAUCGUUAUAAGAAAGAAAGAAUAAUAGAUUCCAUCAUUCUAAGCGGUGGAUCACUAGGCUCGCGGGUCGAUGAAGAACGGGGCCAGCCCCGAGAAUAAGUGCGAAUUGCAGACACAAAGAGCAUCGACUUUUCGAACGCAUAUUGCGGUAUCGGGCCCGCUCGAUACCACGCCUAUCUGAGGGUCGAAUAAUCGAUAUCGUAAGAACGCUCUCACGAACGAACGAGACUAAAAAUAGAAUGGUUGGAGACUAUUUGAAAUGAAAAUUAGUCGUCCGACUAAGGGACGGUCGCCGUAAAUGGCGCGACGCCUAGAGAGACUCGAUAGACUGGUGUUUGUCCUACGUAAAAAAGGAGAGAAUUCAGGGUCGAUCGAGCGAACGAACGAACGUCGUAUUAGUAGUCGUAAUCGAAGUCGCGUUUGCGUAAUGUUAAAAGCUACACUUCGACCGAAUUGCGACGAACCUAACACGGAACGAAUCUCGAAUUUUGACCUCAGAUUAGACGAGAAAACCCGCCGAAUUUAAGCAUAUAACUAGGCGGAGGAAAAGAAAUUAACGAAGAUUUCCUUAGUAACGGCGAGUGAAA